GAGUUUGAUCGUGGCUCAGAUUGAACGCUGGCGGCAUGCCUUACACAUGCAAGUCGAACGGCAGCACGGGAGCUUGCUCCUGGUGGCGAGUGGCGAACGGGUGAGUAAUGCAUCGGAACGUAUCCUGGAGUGGGGGAUAACGUAGCGAAAGUUACGCUAAUACCGCAUAUUCUGUGAGCAGGAAAGCGGGGGACCUUCGGGCCUACGCGCUCUUCGGAGCGGCCGAUGUCGGAUUA
RNAcentral lists this ribosomal RNA (236 nucleotides) under bacterium enrichment culture clone ALO1_GLFRUDD03HI4QZ. RNAcentral's name for it is "partial 16S ribosomal RNA". It matches the Rfam family "Bacterial small subunit ribosomal RNA", at positions 9 to 243 of the family's 1533-position model. The record is from RNAcentral.